CGUAACAAGGUUUCCGUAGGUGAACCUGCGGAAGGAUCAUUAUCGAAAUUAUCGGUGAGGGUUGUAGCUGGCCUUUCGGGGCACGUGCACGCCCGAGCCCUUUAAUCCACUUUACACCUGUGAACCUAAUGUAGGUCGCCCCUCGAAAAGGUGGCCUACGUCUUAUCAUCAACCCCAUCGUAUGUCUCAUAGAAUGUAAAUCAAUAUCCUCGCCUUAAAAAAGCGUUGAUAAACUUUAUACAACUUUCAACAACGGAUCUCUUGGCUCUCGCAUCGAUGAAGAACGCAGCGAAAUGCGAUAAGUAAUGUGAAUUGCAGAUUUUCAGUGAAUCAUCGAAUCUUUGAACGCACCUUGCGCUCCUUGGUAUUCCGAGGAGCAUGCCUGUUUGAGUGUCAUUAAAUUCUCAACUCCAAAGGGUUUCACGACCUCUUGGAGAUUGGACUUGGAGCGUGCCGGCGUCCACGUCGGCUCCUCUCAAAUGCAUCAGCGGAAUUCAAUCUUUGGGCUUCCGGAGUCGGUGUGAUAAUCAUGUUGCGCUGUCGUCGGAAUCCUCAGAGUCCGCUCAUUAAUGGUCUUUGGACAAAUCAUCAUCAAAUUUGACCUCAAAUCAGGUAGGACUACCCGCUGAACUUAAGCAUAUCAAUAAGCGGAGGAAAAGAAACUAACAAGGAUUCCCCUAGUAACUGCGAGUGAAGCGGGAAAAGCUCAAAUUUAAAAUC
This 720-nucleotide ribosomal RNA is filed under the name uncultured Piloderma. Its description in RNAcentral is "eukaryotic LSU rRNA". The stretch from base 242 to 396 matches the Rfam family "5.8S ribosomal RNA". The record is from RNAcentral. Lineage: Eukaryota; Fungi; Basidiomycota; Agaricomycetes; Atheliales; Atheliaceae.